This is a long non-coding RNA of Populus nigra (black poplar), 726 nucleotides long. RefSeq lists it as uncharacterized. Lineage: Eukaryota; Viridiplantae; Streptophyta; Magnoliopsida; Malpighiales; Salicaceae. The transcript is spliced from 2 exons. The record is from RefSeq and is a predicted model, not a curated record.
UGAUGAAGUCAAUAUCUUGCCAGCUCGUCUAUACCUUCAUCGCCACCUACUUUUCAAACAAGGCAACCACUCAACCACGUAAACUAAAUCUCAGCCCUCAAUCAUUCAACUAAACUACCAAUCCUGUCCGUCUAUUCUCCCAGAUCCGCUAUAUAGUGUCACACCCGCCCUUCAAUCUUUAUCUGCCUCAUCAGCUAAUCCCUAAUAUUCGUAGAUCCACUCUACAUGGUACCCCAUUCGAUCUUUUCGAUUCUAGCUUCGCCUAGAUCGCUCUGCGAUCUAUAUAUUGAUACCAGAUUUGAUAUUCGAAGCUCAUCCGAUGCUUAAACUCUAUGAUUUAACGGUCUGCUAUCUGGUUUGAUCGGAGAUCGAUCGGAGAUCUGUUUCUAUGGCUCUAAUUUUCAGGGGACAUAUCCCGUCGGUGUGUGAGCAGAAGAUGACUCGAGAUAUCAUUUGAAGGUGGAGCGAUAAGCAGUUACAGAAUCUCCGUUGCUUGAUCAUGUAACCUGAGCAGUGAUUUAUUGAUUGAUUGAGGAGUGAUGGAAGGAGAUAAGGGGUGGGGCUGUGUGUUUUGUUUAUGAGGAUGAUGUAUAAGAUACAUAUAUCGGGACUAGAAGGCCAGGAGGCUGAGAGGUCUUGUUUAUUAUCUGUCAUCCGACCUUUGCCAUGACAGGUGCGCUUGCAUGGCAGGUCACCCAUCAUCUUAAUAAAACUAUUAUUUUCGUG